UAGAGUUUGAUCCUGGCUCAGGACGAACGCUGGCGGCGCGCCUAACACAUGCAAGUCGAGGGAGAAGCACAUCUUCGGAUGUGUGGAGACCGGCGAACGGGUGAGUAACACGUGAGAAACCUACCCCGGAGAUGGGAAUAACCACGGGAAACUGUGGCUAAUGCCCAAUACUCUCCAUUUACCGCAUGGCAGCUGGAGGAAAAGUCCGCUGCUCCGGGAUGGUCUCGCGGCGUAUCAGCUAGUUGGUGAGGUAAUGGCUCACCAAGGCAACGACGCGUAGCUGGAGUGAGAGCUCGAACAGCCACACUGGGACUGAGACACGGCCCAGACUCCUACGGGAGGCAGCAGUGGGGAAUCUUGCGCAAUGGGCGAAAGCCUGACGCAGCGACGCCGCGUGUGGGAAGAAGGCCUUCGGGUUGUAAACCACUUUCAGGAGGGAAGAAGCGAAAGUGACGGUACCUCCAGAAGAAGGUCCGGCCAACUACGUGCCAGCAGCCGCGGUAAUACGUAGGGACCGAGCGUUGUCCGGAAUUAUUGGGCGUAAAGAGCUCGUAGGCGGUUCUUUAAGUCGGAUGUGAAAUCUCAGGGCUUAACCCUGAAACCGCACCCGAUACUGGAGAACUUGAGGCAGGUAGGGGAGAUCGGAAUUCCUGGUGUAGCGGUGAAAUGCGCAGAUAUCAGGAGGAACACCGGUGGCGAAGGCGGAUCUCUGGGCCUGUUCUGACGCUGAGGAGCGAAAGCGUGGGGGAGCAAACAGGAUUAGAUACCCUGGUAGUCCACGCCGUAAACGAUGGGUGCUAGGUGUGGGAGAUAAUCCACUUCUUCCGUGCCGCAGCUAACGCAUUAAGCACCCCGCCUGGGGACUACGGCCGCAAGGCUAAAACUCAAAGGAAUUGACGGGGGCCCGCACAAGCGGCGGAGCAUGUGGCUUAAUUCGAAGCAACGCGAAGAACCUUACCAGGGCUUGAAAUAUACGGAAAAACCAUGGAAACAUGGUGUGCUUCGGCGUCGUAUACAGGUGGUGCAUGGUUGUCGUCAGCUCGUGCCGUGAGGUGUUGGGUUAAGUCCCGCAACGAGCGCAACCCUUAUCCUAUGUUGCCAGCGCGUAAUGGCGGGGACUCAUGGGAGACUGCCGGUGUCAAACCGGAGGAAGGUGGGGACGACGUCAAAUCAUCAUGCCCCUUAUGUCCUGGGCUGCACACAUGCUACAAUGGCCGGUACAGAGGGCUGCGAUCCCGCGAGGGUGAGCGAAUCUCACAAAGCCGGUCUCAGUUCGGAUUGGAGUCUGCAACUCGACUCCAUGAAGGCGGAGUCGCUAGUAAUCGCAGAUCAGCAACGCUGCGGUGAAUACGUUCCCGGGCCUUGUACACACCGCCCGUCACGUCAUGAAAGUCGGUAACACCCGAAGUCAGUGGCCCAACCGCAAGGAGGGAGCUGCCGAAGGUGGGAUCGGCGAUUGGGACGAAGUCGUAACAAGGUAGCCGUAAUCUC
RNAcentral lists this ribosomal RNA (1491 nucleotides) under Euzebya sp. RNAcentral describes it as "bacterial SSU rRNA". It matches the Rfam family "Bacterial small subunit ribosomal RNA". The record is from RNAcentral. Lineage: Bacteria; Bacillati; Actinomycetota; Nitriliruptoria; Euzebyales; Euzebyaceae.